GGGAGUAUUCGACACUUGAAAGCAUUCGGAUAUUGUGUGUGGUUUUUGUAUAGAAAUCCUCGAACUGAGACCGGCCAUUGCCACAUUUUCUCUGGAACUAUUUUGGGCUUCUACCUUGUGUUUGGCUGGUCAACAUUUUCCCUCGAUAGCGAUUCCAAACCACCGAAUCGAUCGGAGUGCUUUUUGGAUAAGUUAUGCACUCAGAUCAUGGAUAUCUGGGAAUGUGACUCUCAAGGGAUUUUCAUGGAUUU
This is a non-coding RNA of Pelobates cultripes (western spadefoot toad), 251 nucleotides long. Lineage: Eukaryota; Metazoa; Chordata; Amphibia; Anura; Pelobatidae. The record is from the annotation of a GenBank genome assembly.